UCCUGAACAUACAAGAGAAACUGCAGAUGGCUCAUUAGAUCAGUUAUGGUUUAUUGGAGAAAGUCUUAUACCAUGGAUAACUGUGGUAAUUCUAGAGCUAAUACAUGCAACAAAGCGCCGACCCUUCGGGGGAAGCGUGCUCUUAUUAGGAACAAGGCCAGCCCGGUCCUCUCGGGGUCCGGUCUCCGCUGGUGAACUCUAGAUAAUCAUGCCGAUCGCACGGUCUUGCACCGGCGACGCUCCCUUCAAAAGUCUGCUCUAUCAACUUUCGAUGGUAAGUUAUGCGCUUAUCAUGGUUGUGACGGGUAACGGAGAAUCAGGGUUCGAUUCCGGAGAGGGAGCCUGAGAAACGGCUACCACAUCCAAGGAAGGCAGCAGGCACGCAAAUUACCCACUCCUGACACGGGGAGGUAGUGACAAAAAAUAACGAUACAGGCCUCUUCGGAGGCCCUGUGAUCGGAAUGAGUACACUUUAAAUCCUUUAACGAGGAUCUACUGGAGGGCAAGUCUGGUGCCAGCAGCCGCGGUAAUUCCAGCUCCAGCAGCGUGUAUUAAAUUUGCUGCAGUUAAAAAGCUCGUAGUCGGAUUUCUGGCCGGGGCGGGCGGUCCGCCGUGAGGCGUGCACUGCCCGUUCCCCUUCUCCCCGUCAAACGGGAGUCGUGGGAGAUUUUUCCCGGCCAGUGAUUCGGUUGGUCGUGCGGUGCUCUUAACUGAGUGCCGUGCGAGACUGGAACGUUUACUUUGAGAAAAUUGAAGUGUUCAAAGCAGGCCAAAGUGCCCGAACAGCUCAGCAUGGAAUAGUGGAAGAGGACCUCGGUUCUAUUUCGUUGGUCUUGAGAUCCUGAGGUAAUGAUCAAGAGGGACUGCCGGGGGCAUUCGUAUUGCGGCGUGAGAGGUGAAAUUCUUGGAUCGUCGCAAGACGCCCGACAGCGAAAGCAUUUGCCAAGAAUGUCUUCAUUGAUCAAGAACGAAAGUCGGAGGAUCGAAGGCGAUCAGAUACCGCCCUAGUUCCGACCAUAAACGAUACCGACUCGUAAUUCGCCGGCGUUCCUCCCAUGACGCGGCGGGCAACUCUCCGGAAAACCAAAGUCUUUGGGUUCCGGGGGAAGUAUGGUUGCAA
RNAcentral lists this ribosomal RNA (1120 nucleotides) under Apostichopus japonicus (Japanese sea cucumber). RNAcentral describes it as "SSU rRNA". It matches the Rfam family "Eukaryotic small subunit ribosomal RNA", at positions 69 to 1134 of the family's 1831-position model. The record is from RNAcentral. Lineage: Eukaryota; Metazoa; Echinodermata; Holothuroidea; Aspidochirotida; Stichopodidae.